GAUAACGGGAUGCGUUUGCGUAACCAAGGACAUAGCUGUGUUUUACCUACUCAUCCAUUAAUCCACACGGUGUACCUGUGAGACAGAUUCCUCAUGGAAAAUCUUCAUAUGAAGGUUUGCAAGUUACCAACACACGGUCUCAGUACGUGUCCAACUUCAAGCCCUUCUACACCACUGGAAAGCGAUGAGCACAAUUUGUGUGAAGUUCUCUGGAAACCAAAGUCACGUUCCUGCCUUAAUUCGCAGCGCCCAUGUGUGGCCUUCAGAGGAGCUAACUGGUUAAACAGAGCUAAUUUUUAAGUAAUGAAGACUGCACAAAGAUCUUGAAAAAAAUCUAAGUUAUUUAUUAUAUUUUAAGACAGACAUUUGAAAACUGAAGCCCUAAAACUCUUGAGACACUCCCAUAAAUGCUGCUCCCUUUCUCUCAGUAACUUCAUCCAAGCAUGCCUUUCUCCUACCUAGAAAAUCUGUCCACCACUGAGGAUUCUAGAGGAAAUUAAAAUGCUGUUUCUGCUUUUAAAAAGAAAAUAAGUGUCAAAUCUAUUCAAAACAUCAAAUGCACCUAAGAAUACUGUAAAGGCAACAACCUACUGCAAUUUCCCUUCACAGAAAACAGAAUUGGUUGGAUGCAAGCUACACAAAUUGAUAGCUCCUUCCUCUCCGUGAUAUCAACAGUUAAAAGGGAUUGGAUGUGCCAUCAUAACCUUUGCAGCGCUCCCCAGCCUGUUUCGAGCUUGACGCGCUGAGCUGCUGUACAACCACGAGAGAGAAAGUAAAAUGGUAGAUACGCAAAUGUCUCCAAGGAGGAGGAAACUACAGGUCACGUUUUGGGUGCCUUCCAGUGGCUCCAGGCAGAAGAGCAUGGCUCCAGAGCAGCUAUGCAGAAGAAAGUCCAAAGAAAGGCGAACAUUCAGAGGCUGCUUCUGGGACAAGUCUGGGUCCCUUAAGAAUCAACAAGUCAUAAAAAUGUUCCUUUGAUUCAGAAAUCCCACAAAGGUUCUCUCUAUAGCAGCAAAGAUGGUGACUAUGACAGCACAUAGUUGGCCUUUCACAAGCACUUUCUAAUCCUACUCAUAACUGGGGAAGAAGGACCGUUCCUUGCCAUUUUUCACACCAGAAAAGGAUGGCUACCCGUACCAAACUGCUCUUUGAACUUUCACUGCUGUGGAAGCUGUGACUUACUCUUAACAGAAAGGAGGGGUAAGGAUGCAGCAAAUCCUGAAUCCAAACAAAAGCAGCUUCUAGUACAGUUCUCGUCAAAGAGAGCCAAAAAGAACAGCAAAGACAAAACUGGGACAAUGAUGAUUUUUGAAUCUUUUUUAGAGGCUCCCCCUCAUGCCCUUUUAGUUUCCCCAAAGCACGUCCACCACAGGGGUAGGAUGUACAGAUCAAUUCCUACAGAUUUUUUUUUUUUCCUUUGUACAUUAUUUAUCAAAUUGCUCACACACACACACAAGAACUGGACAAAAAACUAUGCCAUCAACUUCA
Molecule: non-coding RNA, 1488 nt
Organism: Phalacrocorax carbo (great cormorant)
Lineage: Eukaryota; Metazoa; Chordata; Aves; Suliformes; Phalacrocoracidae
Source: RefSeq, a predicted model, not a curated record